Long non-coding RNA from Ailuropoda melanoleuca (giant panda), 596 nucleotides. Lineage: Eukaryota; Metazoa; Chordata; Mammalia; Carnivora; Ursidae. The record is from Ensembl.
UGUGCUUCUCAUAGUUUAUGGAACCCCACCUUGAUUGGACUCAGACAUGGGUUCUGAGGCCUGAUAAGAGAGGAUGGACAAGGCUUUGGUCAACUAUCAGAAAAACCGCUAGCAUAUACUCUGUGCCGACUUCUUCGUGCAGAAAGCCCUGCUUAGUCUUCAGAUGGCCCGUCUUCGAUGCAUGUUUAUUGAGCGCCCUGAGUGUUGCGUGUGCUGGGAAUGUGGUAAGAGGCAGAGCCGGCCCACCCUUCAUGGAGCUGAUGCUGUCUGUGGGGCAGCUGACGGGCCAGCAGAUGGAACAUGCCGAUAAUGUGAAGGAUGAAGUUGUAAAUGGGGAGAAGGUCCAAGGGCAAGAAUUUUCAAGGAACCAAAAGACACUGGAGCCGAGAAGGGAACAUGGCCCUGAGAGGAGCUGUAGAGGGAGGAGGGGGCAAACAGGUGAGCCUGGGCACUGGGGGGUUGAGGCAGGGCUGGAGACGGCAGGGCCAGAGGAGCAGAGGUGGCUGUUGCCAGGACCCCGGAUGACGGGGCGGAGAAGGAGAUGGAUUUGGAGUUGGCAACUCCACUGUUUGCUCCGAGACCUGGAUGGGUGGUGA